Molecule: non-coding RNA, 80 nt
Organism: Ixodes scapularis (black-legged tick)
Lineage: Eukaryota; Metazoa; Arthropoda; Arachnida; Ixodida; Ixodidae
Source: Rfam
CUAGAUAUAAAGGAAUUUAUAUUAAUGAACUAUAAGAAGUCAGCAGAAGGCAUAGUAGGUAUGGGAACAUACUGAAGGCC